This 497-nucleotide ribosomal RNA is filed under the name uncultured bacterium. RNAcentral's name for it is "partial 16S ribosomal RNA". It matches the Rfam family "Bacterial small subunit ribosomal RNA", at positions 28 to 507 of the family's 1533-position model. The record is from RNAcentral.
GAUGAACGCUGGCGGCGUGCCUAAUACAUGCAAGUCGAGCGAACAGACGAGGAGCUUGCUCCUCUGACGUUAGCGGCGGACGGGUGAGUAACACGUGGAUAACCUACCUAUAAGACUGGGAUAACUUCGGGAAACCGGAGCUAAUACCGGAUAAUAUAUUGAACCGCAUGGUUCAAUAGUGAAAGACGGUUUUGCUAUCACUUAUAGAUGGAUCCGCGCCGCAUUAGCUAGUUGGUAAGGUAACGGCUUACCAAGGCGACGAUGCGUAGCCGACCUGAGAGGGUGAUCGGCCGCACUGGAACUGAGACACGGUCCAGACUCCUACGGGAGGCAGCAGUAGGGAAUCUUCCGCAAUGGGCGAAAGCCUGACGGAGCAACGCCGCGUGAGUGAUGAAGGUCUUCGGAUCGUAAAACUCUGUUAUUAGGGAAGAACAAAUGUGUAAGUAACUAUGCACGUCUUGACGGUACCUAAUCAGAAAGCCACGGCUAACUACGUG